This 1065-nucleotide ribosomal RNA is filed under the name Triticum aestivum (bread wheat). RNAcentral's name for it is "partial small subunit ribosomal RNA". Lineage: Eukaryota; Viridiplantae; Streptophyta; Magnoliopsida; Poales; Poaceae. The record is from RNAcentral.
AUGGUAUAUCCUGGUAGUAGUACUAGUAGAAUUGAGAUUGAAUGCACUUUCUUCCCCGUAUUCCACUCUUCUUCCUCCUCUCUUCUUCCUCCUCUCUUCCCCAUCGCCGGCCGCACACCAUUUACCCCCACUCACUGCUCGCCCGCUCGCGCCAUCUUCCUUGGUAGCUCGCGUUCAAAGAAGGAUUGGCUGGAGCUGCCGGCUCGCGUCAAGUUCGAUCCCACGGAUCAGGAGCUGAUCGAGCACCUUGAGGCCAAAGUGAGUGCUGACAGCGCGAGAUUUCAGUCUCACAUUGAUUUGUUCAUACCAACCAUCGACAGCGAGCACGGCAUAUGCUACACCCAACCUGAGAAACUUCCAGAUGUUAUGAAAAUGCCAACUAGGUACACUAAGACCUGUAUUCCACAAUACUGCAGGUAUCACACUGAGUGGCCUAAGGAAGCAUUUCUUCCAGCGCAAUUCCAGGGCGUUCAAAAGGGGCACGUGGACGCGUCGCAAGAUACAGUCGGAGUGCGGCAUGCACGCGAUGUGGCACAAGACCGGCAAUACCUUGCCGGUGGUGGUCAACGGCCGGCAAGAUGGGCAGCAAAAAAGGUUCUGGUGCUGCACACCAACAAGAACUUCGACCAGCAGAGGACCAACUGGGUGAUGCACCAGUACCACCUCGGGGACCUGGAGCAAGAGAAGGAGCGGGAGCUGGUCCUCUGCAAGAUUUUCUACCAGACGAACACUAGGGCCAGGAGUAAAAAGAUUAUAAGUCAAGCAAGUUUCAACUGGGCUGUAGACUGCCGAGGGUUGGCUUUGUUUUUAACAGGCCCAGCCCAUGACGACAACGGGGCACAAAGAUCCAGCAGCGCUCGCUCUCUCCCCCGAAGCGCUCGCUCUCUCACCCGCAGCCGCGCGCUGCGCCGGCAACCAGUCCGGCCCCGGCGGCCACCCCCUCCCCCCGCGCCGCUCUCAACUCCGGAGACGGCGGCCACCGCUCCCCUCCCCCGCUCCAUGGCCUCUAGGGUCUCGCUGUCGGGGUCGUCCUCUUCCAAGUCCCCCUCUUGGGCUCCUCGGUAG